AAUAUCUUUUUGAUCACCUCAUAGAUUCCCUUAUUCAUCUUACACCAUGUCUCCCCUUUAAACCAUAAACAGGUUUACUUUGCACUACUAUUUAAAUGGUAUUGAGUUUUCAAUCUCCCUUAACAAACAGUGUUGUUGCUUAGAUGAAGGUGCAAAGGUAACACCA
This is a long non-coding RNA of Micropterus salmoides (largemouth bass), 166 nucleotides long. RefSeq lists it as uncharacterized. Lineage: Eukaryota; Metazoa; Chordata; Actinopteri; Centrarchiformes; Centrarchidae. The transcript has 2 exons. The record is from RefSeq and is a predicted model, not a curated record.